Molecule: ribosomal RNA, 450 nt
Filed under: uncultured Alphaproteobacteria bacterium
Lineage: Bacteria; Pseudomonadati; Pseudomonadota; Alphaproteobacteria
Description: bacterial SSU rRNA
Rfam family: Bacterial small subunit ribosomal RNA
Source: RNAcentral
GGCCUAACACAUGCAAGUCGAACGAACCCUUCGGGGUUAGUGGCGCACGGGUGCGUAACGCGUGGGAAUCUGCCCUUAGGUACGGAAUAACUCAGGGAAACUUGUGCUAAUACCGUAUGAUGUCUUCGGACCAAAGAUUUAUCGCCUAGGGAUGAGCCCGCGUUGGAUUAGCUAGUUGGUGAGGUAAAGGCUCACCAAGGCGACGAUCCAUAGCUGGUCUGAGAGGAUGAUCAGCCACACUGGGACUGAGACACGGCCCAGACUCCUACGGGAGGCAGCAGUGGGGAAUAUUGGACAAUGGGCGAAAGCCUGAUCCAGCAAUGCCGCGUGAGUGAUGAAGGCCUUAGGGUUGUAAAGCUCUUUUACCCGGGAAGAUAAUGACUGUACCGGGAGAAUAAGCCCCGGCUAACUCCGUGCCAGCAGCCGCGGUAAUACGGAGGGGGCUAGCGU